GCACUGCUGACGAGUUUCAAAAACAGGACGAAACAGCUGUCCAGUGC
RNAcentral lists this non-coding RNA (47 nucleotides) under Echinostoma caproni. The record is from RNAcentral. Lineage: Eukaryota; Metazoa; Platyhelminthes; Trematoda; Plagiorchiida; Echinostomatidae.